This 854-nucleotide ribosomal RNA is filed under the name Klebsiella pneumoniae. Its description in RNAcentral is "bacterial SSU rRNA". It matches the Rfam family "Bacterial small subunit ribosomal RNA", at positions 573 to 1409 of the family's 1533-position model. The record is from RNAcentral. Lineage: Bacteria; Pseudomonadati; Pseudomonadota; Gammaproteobacteria; Enterobacterales; Enterobacteriaceae.
UAACUCCGUGCCAGCCAGUGAAAUCCCCGGGCUCAACCUGGGAACUGCAUUCGAAACUGGCAGGCUAGGAGUCUUGUAGAGGGGGGUAGCAAUUCCAGGUGUAGCGGUGAAAUGCGUAGAGAUCUGGAGGAAUACCGGUGGGCGAAGGCGGCCCCCUGGACAACAGACUGACGCUCAGGUGCGAAAGCGUGGGGAGCAAACAGGAUUAGAUAGCCCUGGUAGUCCACGCCGUAAACGCAUGUCGAUUUGGAGGUUGUGCCCUUGAGGCGUGGCUUCCGGAGCUAGACGCGUUAAAUCGACCGCCUGGGGAGCUACGGCCGCAAGGUUAAAACUCAAAUGAAUUGACGGGGGCCCGCGACAAGCGGUGGAGCAUGUGGUUUAAUUCCGAUGCAACGCGAAGAACCUUACCUGGUCUUGACAUCCACAGAGACUUUCCAGAGAUGGAUUGGUGCCUUCGGGCAACUGUGAGACAGGUGCUGCAUGGCUGUCGUCAGCUCGUGGUUGUGAAAUGUUGGGUUAAGUCCCGCAACGAGCCGCAACCCUUAUCCUUUGUUGCCAGCGGUCCGGCCGGGGAACUCAAAGGAGACUGCCAAUGAUAAACUGGAGGCAAGGUGGGGAUGACGUCAAGUCAUCAUGGCCCUUACGGACCAGGGCUACACACGUGCUACAAUGGCAUAUACACAAGAGAAGCGACCUCGCGAGAGCAAGCGGACCUCGAUAAAGUAUGUCGUAGUCCGGAUUGGAGUCUGCAACUCCGACUCCAUGAAGUCGGAAUCGCUAGUAAUCGUGAGAUCAGAAUGCUACGGUGAAUACGUUCCCGGGCCUUGUACCACACCGCCCGUCACACCAUGGGA